Molecule: long non-coding RNA, 958 nt
Filed under: Cyanistes caeruleus (blue tit)
Lineage: Eukaryota; Metazoa; Chordata; Aves; Passeriformes; Paridae
Description: lncRNA (ENSCCEG00000020781.1)
Source: RNAcentral
AUUUAUGGUUCUGAAAAAGAAAGAUUAUUUUUUCUGAGAAUCACUGCUAGAAGCUGGUGGAAGCAAACAAAAUCAAACGCACAACUUGGAAAUCAAAGCAUAUUUUAAAAUGAAGGAUUUGUUUUUAUCCUUACCAGGAGUUAAAAACUGGAAUGAACCUGAGUCUACUGUUACCAUGUAAGUGCCUGAAAUGGAAUAAACAGUUUUCUGACUUAAUGGCUAUCCCCAUGGCAAUAGGAGAGGAUCUUGCGCACUAAAGACUGAAAGGAAUGAAUAGAUCAGAAAGACUCCUGACACAGCCUAAGGUAUACAAAGUUGACACCAGAGGAGCAAAUAAAAAGUAUGCUGCAAAGACAUGGUAAAGUGAGCUGCAGACUUGCAGAAGGAGCAAGCCCAUGGCAAGAGGAGAUGGGCAGCAAAGCAAAAAAGCUUCACUCACCUGGCUGUUGGCUGUCUCUGUAUCCUGAUUUGGAGCUAGCCUGGCAUAUGGAACCAAAUCAAGAGAAGCAUGAAAAGCUUUGAGGAAAAGUCAGCUCUAACUUGGCUGCUAUUUCUGGAGAAGACAAUGCCUUUGUCUGCUACCAGCUCACCAGCUUGACGUCCACAGGGGCUGUCUGUAGCCCUCACUACCUGUACUAAACAAAAGAUUUGCAAUGCAGAAUAGGGAGCAAAAGAAAUUGGAACAACAAACCCAGAAAUAUGGUGUGUUGAAGACCUUCUGCUUCCAGUAAGCAAUUAAAAAUCCAAAUUGAACUCCCUGUAGGAAGAAAACUCACAAUUUGUACAGUCAGCUUUAUUCACUGUCAUGAGGUUCUUCUGAUAGUCCCUCAAAGCCACCUGCCAUAAAACAGGGAUGGCAGACUACGUGGCAUUCCCUUGGCAUGUGGUUUUUCAGGGUCUGACAUUUGAUUAUACUCUCCAUUCUUUACAAAUAAAAAGGCUGUACGUAUUUUUAACA